This 769-nucleotide long non-coding RNA is filed under the name Homo sapiens (human). RNAcentral describes it as "HSALNT0325634". Lineage: Eukaryota; Metazoa; Chordata; Mammalia; Primates; Hominidae. The record is from RNAcentral.
UUCUUAAUCACCAAAAACUCAAUGCAAACUCAAUAUCCUUCAGUAAGUGAAUGAUAAACUGUGGUACAUCCAGACAAUGGGAUGUGAUAUCAUAAAUACUAAUGUGUUAUUAAACCACAUAGAGAGAUGAGUCUUAAAUUCAUAUUGCUAAAUGAAAAAGCUAGUCUGAUAAGUCUACCCACUGUAUUAUUCCAUUUAUAUGACAGACUAAGAGACAAAACUAUAAAGACAGAAAACAGAUCAAUGGUUUUUCAUGAGUUCAGAGGGAGUUUCACAUACAGUCACUGAAGCACAGGGGAUGUUUUUUAAAGCAGUGACACUAUUCUGCAGGGCAUUGUAAUGGUGGAUAAACAACACUGUGCAUUUGCUGAAAUCUAUAGAACUUCACAGCACAAACAAUAAACCUUAAUGUAUGCAAAUUUAAACAUAAUCUUUUAAGAGAUUAAGGGAUCCAAGAAUUGAAUGAAGAAUGUAACAAAAGAAUCUCACUUUGUAACAAAUGAAUGAAACCACGUCACUGACGGGGGAGGGGUGUAAAGUUUGUGACCUAAGUAAAUCUGGAAAUGAGUGGAGUCUGUAAGACUUAAGGCAAAAGAACUCUAACUGAUAAAGUUGUUUCACAAGAAGAUAAGAAUUUUGACAUUUGCACCUAGGAAAUGUUUGUCUGGCUCCUCUUAUGUUGUAGAAGCGCACUGCUGCCUACAUCCAGGUCUUGAGCAGUGACAGCGCCAAUGAUGGUCCCUACCGGAGUGUCUUCAUAAACCUCCAU